AGAACGAACGCUGGCGGCAGGCUUAACACAUGCAAGUCGAGCGCCCCGCAAGGGGAGCGGCAGACGGGUGAGUAACGCGUGGGAAUCUACCUAGCUCUUCGGAAUAGCUCCGGGAAACUGGAAUUAAUACCGAGUACGCCCUACGGGGGAAAGAUUUAUCGGAGUUAGAUGAGCCCGCGUUGGAUUAGCUAGUUGGUGGGGUAAUGGCCUACCAAGGCGACGAUCCAUAGCU
Molecule: ribosomal RNA, 232 nt
Filed under: uncultured soil bacterium
Lineage: Bacteria
Description: partial 16S ribosomal RNA
Rfam family: Bacterial small subunit ribosomal RNA
Source: RNAcentral